Non-coding RNA from Ciona savignyi (Pacific transparent sea squirt), 72 nucleotides. Lineage: Eukaryota; Metazoa; Chordata; Ascidiacea; Phlebobranchia; Cionidae. The record is from Rfam.
GGCGCCAUGGCUUAGUGGCAAAGCGCCUGUCUAGUAAACAGGAGAUCCUGGGUUCGAUCCCCAGUGGUGCCU